AUUAAGUUAAUUAAUGUACGUAGUGGAUGCCUCGGCUCAAAAUUCCGAUGAAGGACGUGGUUAGCUGCGAUAUGCUUCGGCGAGCUGUUAGCAAGCUUUGACCCGGAGAUUUCCGAAUGGGGGAACCCAUACCGAGUCAUGUCGGUAUACAUUUUGCUUUAGGCAAAAUGAGGCGACUUGGUGAACUGAAACAUCUAAGUAACCAAGGAAAAUAAAUCAAACGAGAUUCCCUUAGUAGUGGCGAGCGAACAGGGAACAGCCCAAACCAUAGCUUCGGCUAUGGGGUUGCGGACCCCGAUAUGUACUUACUCUUAUUAGUCGAACAACUCUGGAAAGGUUGGCAAAACAGGGUGAUAGCCCCGUAGACGAAAAUAAGAUAAAGCGCUAGGGAGAUCCAGAGUAGGGUCGGACACGUGUAAUCCGGCUUGAAGCAGGGAGGACCACCUUCCAAGGCUAAAUAGAUUUUGAGACCAAUAGUGAACAAGUACCGUGAGGGAAAGGUGAAAAGCACCCCGGGAGGGGAAUGAAAUAGUAUCUGAAACUACGUAUUUAUAAAGAGUCGAAGCACCUCGAGUGCGACGGCGUACUUUUUGUAGAACGGGCCAACGAGUUAGCUGUAUAAGGCUGGUUAAGGGAUUUAUACCUGGAGCCAUAGUGAAAGCGAGCGUGAAUAACGCGACAUAUAGUCUUAUACACUAGACCCGAAACCGAGUGAGCUAUCCAUGGGCAGGCUGAAGCUUUGGUAAAACGAAGUGGAGGGCCGAACACAAGUCAGUUGCAAGUGGCUGUGAUGACCUGUGGAUAGAGGUGAAAUGCCAAUCGAACUCGGAAAUAGCUGGUUCUCCUCGAAAUAGCUUUAGGGCUAGCCCUAUGUUCGAACUUUACGGGGGUAGAGCUCUGUUUAGGCUAGGGGGUUCACUAAACCUACCAAACCUUGAUAAACUUCAAAUACCGUAAACGGAUUCAUAGGAGUCAGACUAUGACAGCGAAGUGCCAUAGUCAAAAGGGAAACAGCCCAGACCAUCAUCUAAGGUCCCUAAUAUAGUUUAAGUGGAAAAGGAUGUGAGACUACACAGACAACCAGGAGGUUGGCUUAGAAGCAGCCAUUCCUUUAAAGAGUGCGUAAUAGCUCACUGGUCUAGUGGUUUUGCGCCGAAAAUAUAACGGGGCUAAAACUAUAACCGAAGAUGUGGACUUGUACUUUGUACAAGUGGUAGAGGAGCGUUCCCAUCAGCGUCGAAGUCGGACUGUGAGGUCUGGUGGAGCGGUGGGAAGUGAAAAUGUUGGCAUGAGUAACGUAAAUUCUGGUGAAAACCCAGGACACCAAAAGCCCAAGGGUUCCCACGCAACGGUAAUCGACGUGGGGUUAGUCGGUCCUAAGGCGUAGCCGAAAGGCAAAGUCGAUGGAUAACAGGUUAAUAUUCCUGUACAACUGUUAAUUCGCCCGAGCAAGACGGGAAGUAACUAUAUUCGGUGUUUACUCUUCGGAGUAUUCAUCAUUUGUGGAAGCUGAACGUGGCGCUAACUAAGGGGGGACGCAGGAGGUAACCACAGGCGCGUUAAUGAAUUCGCGUUGAAGCUGUAAGCUUAUGCUUUAGUUGGAAAAUCCGCUAGAGUUCGCGAGCAGUGAUCUAAAUUUUCUCUUAAUUGAGAAGAGAUCUGUGCACAUCUCUUGCCUAGAAAAUCCUCGUAGUGAGAAUUAGCGGUUACCGUACCGCAAACCGACACAGGUGGGCAAGUUGAGUAUACGAAGGUGUCGGGAUAACUAUGCUUAAGGAACUCGGCAAAACAGCAGGUGUAACUUCGGGAUAAACCUCGCCAAUGCCAUUUGAUUUAUCAUUUAGGUGUUGGCCGCAGCGAAAGCCUCCAGGCGACUGUUUACCAAAAACACAGGUCCGUGCUAAACCGUAAGGUGAUGUAUACGGGCUGACGCCUGCCCAGUGCCAGAAGGUUACGAGGAGGGGUGCAAGCUCUGAAUCUAAGCCCUGGUGAACGGCGGCCGUAACUAUAACGGUCCUAAGGUAGCGAAAUUCCUUGUCAGGUAAAAGAAUUUGCCUGAAUACGAUGGUGACAUCGUAUAUGUAUCCAGCUAAUAACGGUGAAGCCUAAAAUCUCCUCACCGGGAGAUUAAGGUAAUACCGUGGGAACCUCAUAAUUGAGGACCCGUAACGACUGAUCCGAAAGGUGAGACGCGGUUAACAAUAACUGCGUAAUACGCUGGCUCUCACAUAAAAAAAUGCAAUCAUGGAGAUCGGCAUUUAACCCCUAAAUUAUGGAUUUUAAAUCAUAUAUUACAGGGUUUGUCGACGGCGAAGGCUGUUUCUCGGUCUCAUUUACCAAAAGAUCCAAAUUAAAUACCGGGAUUGAGGUCAGACCAAGUUUCAGUGUUUCCCAAAAGAAGUUUUCAUUGGAUCUUCUCAAAAAAAUUCACGAAUACUUUACCUGCGGCGCCAUCAGAUAUUCAAAGAGCGAUGGAGUAUACAAGUACGAAGUGCGAAGUCUCAGUGACAUUACUUUGUACAUUAUUCCUCACUUCCAAAAAUAUCCCUUGCUAACCGCAAAAAGUAAAGAUUUUGAUCUCUUUGUUCAAAUAUGUCAAAUGAUGACAGCUAACUUACAUCGUAAUCAUGAGUAUUUAGCCAAAAUCAUUGACCUGGCUUACCAAAUGAACUGUAGUGGUAAGCGCAAGUAUCAACGAAAAGAUCUCCUAAAAUUGCUGUGAGAUGAAGAUAUAGUCUGAUCUAUGGUGAAAGCCAUAGCCUAACAAUUGAAGUUCUGACCCGCACGAAUGGCGUAACGGUCUGGAGACUGUCUCAAGCAUAGACCCGGUGAAAUUGCAAUAUCGGUAAAAAUGCCGAUUAAUUACAGGUAGACGGAAAGACCCCGUGCAGCUUUACUAUAGUUUGACAUUGAGUCGAGAUUUAGUUUGUGUAGGAUAGGUGGGAGACUUUGAAGCUUGGACGUCAGUCCGGGUGGAGUCGUCCUUGAAAUACCACCCUUGCUACAUUUUGCCUCUAACUCGUUAACAAAACGAGGACAUUGUUUGAUGGGUAGUUUAACUGGGGCGGUUGCCUCCUAAAGAGUAACGGAGGCGUACGAAGGUUCCCUAGCACCGGAUGGAAAUCGGUGUGAUAGUAUAUUCGCAUAAGGGAGCUUAACUGCAAGACCUACAAGUCGAGCAGAUGCGAAAGCAGGUGAAAGUGAUCCGAUACCACCAUGUGGGUGGGGUAUCGCUCAACGGAUAAAAGUUACGCCGGGGAUAACAGGCUUAUCUCCCCCAAGAGUUCACAUCGACGGGGAGGUUUGGCACCUCGAUGUCGGCUCGUCGCAUCCUGGGGCUGGAGAAGGUCCCAAGGGUAUGGCUGUUCGCCAUUUAAAGCGGUACGCGANNNNNNNNNNNNNNNNNNNNNNNNNNNNNNNNGUUUGGCCCCUAUCUCCUGUAAUCGAAGGAAAUUUGAGGGAAUCUAUUCCUAGUACGAGAGGACCGGAAUGGACGAACCACUGGUGUAUCAGCUGUCGUGUCAUCGGCAAUGCUGAGUAGCUACGUUCGGAAUGGAUAACCGCUGAAAGCAUCUAAGCGGGAAGCCAAUCCCAAGAUUAGAUUUCCCCAUUAGCCUGCCCAGAGACUAUGGGCUUGAUAGGCCUAAGGUGUAAGCACAGUGAUGUGUUCAGCCUACAGGUACUAAUAGGCGAUUGAACUUAA
RNAcentral lists this ribosomal RNA (3703 nucleotides) under Candidatus Peregrinibacteria bacterium CG11_big_fil_rev_8_21_14_0_20_41_10. RNAcentral describes it as "bacterial LSU rRNA". It matches the Rfam family "Bacterial large subunit ribosomal RNA". The record is from RNAcentral. Lineage: Bacteria; Candidatus Peregrinibacteriota.